AGCCGAGAAAAAGGUGUUGUAUGCAGCUUACGUCUCCAACCACCCGAAAACUUUCGUUAGAGAAGGCAAUAUCUGUGAGGUGUCUUGUGUAGUUUGAAGUCUGAUGUUAAUCUGUGGCCGUGUUAGUGCACCAGUGGGCAAGAAUUUUAUCUAUUUCGUUGUGCAAUGGUACAGUAUCUUUGCGUUGUGUAUGCGUACCAUGCAGCACUGGAAGUUGUUUCAAAAUGGAUAUAGGCGAGUUGCUAUCUUAUAAGCCCCCUAAUACGCCCAAAAGAGUCCAGGAUGAUGAUAAUGAAGAAGAAGAUUUUGAAAAUGAAUUUGAACGACAGCGUAAAAUGCGUAAGCUGGCUAAGUCUCGUGCCACUGAUGCAGGACUAGUUGAAAGAACUCAAAAGGCACAACAGAAAGAACCAGAAGAAGCUGUAAGGGCAGAGAAACCACUAACAGAUGAAGAGAGAGAAAAGAUUUUGAAAUUGGUUGAAAGUGAGGAAUUUGAGGGAGAGGUUCUGGAUGAAUCCACAUUGAAACGUCUGGUCUUACUGUUUGAGAAACGGGCACUCAGAAACCAGGAGAUGAGAAUUAAAUUUCCUGACAUGCCAGAAAAAUUUAUGGAAUCUGAGUUAGAGUUACAUGAAACGAUACAGGAGAUGCAUGUUGUGGCAACUGUACCAGACCUGUAUCCCAUUAUGGUGGAGCUUCAGGCAGUUCCUUCUCUCCUGGAACUACUUGCUCAUGAGAAUACAGAUGUUGCUGUGGCAGUUGUUGACUUGCUUCAGGAGCUGACAGAUGUAGAUAUUCUGCACGAGAGUGAAGAGGGAGCUGAUAGCUUGAUAGAUGCAUUGCUCAACCAGCAGAUCUGUGCAUUGCUUGUUCAGAACUUGGAGAGGCUGGAUGAGUCUGUCAAAGAAGAAUCUGAAGGCGUACAUAACACAUUAGCAAUCUUUGAGAACCUAGCAGAGUUUCGGCCUGAUCUAUGUGGAGAUGCAGCUAAACAAGGUCUUCUACAAUGGCUGCUUCGACGCUUGCGGGUGAAACUACCGUUUGAUGCAAACAAGCUUUAUGCAAGCGAGAUCCUGUCCAUUCUGCUCCAGGAUACACCUGAUAACCGACAAAUGCUCGGUGACUUGGAUGGUAUUGACGUAAUUCUACAACAGUUGGCUUUUUACAAGCGGCACGAUCCAACUUCCAGUGAAGAGCAUGAAAUGAUGGAAAACUUGUUCAACUGCUUGUGCGGAAGUCUGAUGUAUGCUCCCAACAGAGAAUGUUUCUUACGUGGAGAAGGUUUGCAGCUCAUGAAUCUGAUGCUCAGAGAGAAGAAGUUGUCACGGAAUGGAUCCCUUAAAGUGUUAGAUCAUGCUAUGUCUGGACCAGACGGAAAAGAGAAUUGUAACAAAUUUGUAGAUAUUCUGGGCCUCCGCACCAUAUUCCCACUGUUCAUGAAAACUCCAAAGAAGAAUCGUCGACGUAUUUUAACAACAGAAGAACAUGAAGAACAUGUGGUGUCAAUCAUUGCCAGUAUGUUGCGCAACUGUCGUGGCCCACAACGCCAGCGUCUCCUAAGCAAAUUCACGGAAAAUGAUCACGAGAAAGUAGAUCGUCUGUUGGAAUUACACUUUAAAUACCUUGAGAAAGUGGAGGAGGUUGACCUUGAAAUAGACCAUGAUCGUAGAGAUCUUGAUGAGGGAGACGAGGAUGCAGAAGAAGAGAGGAACUAUUUGCGCAGGCUGGAAGGAGGGCUCUUCACACUGCAGUUAGUGGACUACAUUCUUCUUGAAGUUUGUACUGGGGGACCAUCCACCAUAAAGCAACGUGUUACGCAGAUUCUUAAUCUGAGGGGCGGCUCACUUAAAACAAUCCGACAUGUUAUGAGAGAAUACGCAGGCAAUCUGGGAGAUGCAGGAGACACUGACUGGAGGGAAAUGGAACAACAACACAUCUUACAGCUUGUGGACAAGUUCUAGUUUCUGUUUAUGGACUGAAUAAUUUAGCGACCUUGCUAGAGACCCUAACAGAUAUUUAGGAAUAAAAGCACAGUUGCAUUAGUGGUGAUAAAAUGUUGCAGGGGAACUUAAAACCGUCUUAGCACAGCGUUCCCUAGCACCAAUUAUGAUGCUAUGGGCUUCAUGUGCUUAAUUCAGCACAAUUCUGGAUGGUUCCUGUGGUUGAAAUGCAGAACUGCAGAAGUUGCUGAGCAUUUAAAGAGGAGCGGGGAUGGCUCUGUGUUCAACAGAAAUGGUUCGGGAGGAAGCCGUCACGGCUUAUUUGAAGAUAUCAUUAGGACGUGACUUGCUGACGAAACCACGAUGAACCUUAGUGAAGGCAAACUAGUGCCCUACUCAAACACGAACCGACAGUCUCCCGCGUUACUGCAAGAAUUAACCUUCCCAAUGGGAACAGCGGAGGGUGCUGAAAGCAUUGUUCCGAUAUUUACUGACUGCCACGUGCUUUUUUCUCGUCAUUACAUAACAUUAACAGUCAUCUCGGUUUAGAUGUUUGUCACAUACGACAAACCACUGCAAUUCAGCAGUAUGAUUAUAAUCAUCACUCGACUGGAGAGAGGUAGCAAGCAGCAGCUCAUCACCAAUUGACGCACGUGAUAAUGGCCGUCUAAGCGCAAACAAAUAAACAACUGGUGAUAACACUCCAUCUCCAUGAAUGUUCUGUGAAAUGCUUGUUCGUAAGCUCUCUUGAGGAUACACAACAUGGAUGCAGGACUCUUAUUACAACCUUUCCUGUUAUGAUCGGUUCAUACAAAUACACCGUAAACGUCUAGAUCAGGAUAAUGUACCAAAUUGUUUCUGUUGUUCUGUUCUAAAUAUUGGUUGUAACAGAUAUCAGAUACAAAGCGAAAAAGUUGAAAAACACA
RNA transcript from Zootermopsis nevadensis, 2866 nucleotides. It is a transcript of the gene named beta-catenin-like protein 1, with no coding region annotated. The record is from RefSeq and is a predicted model, not a curated record. Lineage: Eukaryota; Metazoa; Arthropoda; Insecta; Blattodea; Termopsidae.